Long non-coding RNA from Cucurbita maxima (winter squash), 466 nucleotides. RefSeq lists it as uncharacterized. The transcript is spliced from 2 exons. The record is from RefSeq and is a predicted model, not a curated record. NCBI's taxonomy places the organism in Eukaryota, Viridiplantae, Streptophyta, Magnoliopsida, Cucurbitales, Cucurbitaceae.
ACUAAUGUUUAAGCAAGGCAUGCACAACGGGUAACAACAGGCAAGCAGGGAGGAAGCUACUUGAGAUAUUGAAGAGAUCAUAAAUCAUAAAUACUUUCAAACCAACUUCUUCCAAAUACAUCUGCAAAUUCAGACAACCUCUAACAAGGAAUUACACAAAUAUGUAUUUUUAUAAAUCCAUGUUUAUCCAGAAAAUGUAAAAUUCAAUGAGAGAAUGCAGAUAAGUUAUACUAAUCAAGGAACUCACCAAUGAACAUACUAAAAAUAUAAUUACCAACAUUGCUUUAGUUCAUCAUUAUAAAACCAUAUAUUUGGAAAAUUCCCUCAAUCAAUAGUUGCUUAAUCGAUCAUGUACCCAUAAACCCAUAAUCGCAAUUGUUAAACGCCAACCUAUAGAUCAAAUAGACAAAAAAAAGGAUCGUCCCUCAUCGCACAGGAAAGGUAAAAGAUAACUAUUCAUAUUGAC